GACGAACGCUGGCGGCGUGCUUAACACAUGCAAGUCGAGCGGUAAGGCCCUUUCGGGGGUACACGAGCGGCGAACGGGUGAGUAACACGUGGGUGACCUGCCCUCAGCUCUGGGAUAAGCCUGGGAAACUGGGUCUAAUACCGGAUAUGACUCCAUGACGCAUGUUGUGGGGUGGAAAGCCUUGUGCGGCUGAGGAUGGGCCCGCGGCCUAUCAGCUUGUUGGUGGGGUGANGGCCUACCAAGGCGACGACGGGUAGCCGGCCUGAGAGGGCGACCGGCCACACCGGGACUGAGACACGGCCCAGACUCCUACGGGAGGCAGCAGUGGGGAAUCUUGCGCAAUGGGCGAAAGCCUGACGCAGCGACGCCGCGUGAGGGAUGACGGCCUGG
This 390-nucleotide ribosomal RNA is filed under the name uncultured bacterium. Its description in RNAcentral is "bacterial SSU rRNA". It matches the Rfam family "Bacterial small subunit ribosomal RNA", at positions 28 to 419 of the family's 1533-position model. The record is from RNAcentral.